Populus euphratica (Euphrates poplar) is the source of this 667-nucleotide long non-coding RNA. RefSeq lists it as uncharacterized. NCBI's taxonomy places the organism in Eukaryota, Viridiplantae, Streptophyta, Magnoliopsida, Malpighiales, Salicaceae. The record is from RefSeq and is a predicted model, not a curated record. The transcript has 2 exons.
CCCAGUCCCCUGUAUGAUAUGAUUGCCACGAGGCAAUUUCUACAAGGGCCACCAUGAGCUGAGCAUCAAUGGCAUGAGAAAAGUAAAUGCGACACUAAAAGACAACGUCCAGCAAUUUUAAUUCUAGAAAUCUAUCCAUUCAAUUUAGCUUCGUGCAGCAAAAGGGAUAAACAUUCAGGGCAGAUAAGAAAGAGAGGAGCUGAAAGGUGAUCAUCUUGUCGGAUACAACGUGUAGGCCGAAUAUAACCAUGAGAUUCUCCAUUAAUAAGCAUCGAAUAGUAAACAGUGGUCAUACAUUCCAUUAUCCCCCCGAUCCAUAUUGGAUCAAACCCUAAUCUUUGCACCCUCCUUCUCAAGAACAAAUAUUCUACUCUUACCAAAAACCUUCCUCAUAUCCCACUUCAUAGCCAUCUCGUACUCUCUUCCUAUGCCAAUGCUUUUAAGUAAUGGAGAAUUUCGAGAGCCACAGAGAUUAGUCUAUUGCGAAUAAAAGCACUCUGAUUAAUGCUAUUGAUUCUAUCUAUCACUCUACUAAUUCUUUUAGAUAAGAUUUUAGCAACCAUUUUGUAAAAUACUAAACAGAGGUUAAUAUAGGCCUCAGCUGUUUCAUAUUCUAAACAUGUUCAACUUUAGCAACAAGAGAAAUAAUUGUAUGAUUGAAUCGUUU